Molecule: ribosomal RNA, 929 nt
Filed under: Acinetobacter lwoffii
Lineage: Bacteria; Pseudomonadati; Pseudomonadota; Gammaproteobacteria; Moraxellales; Moraxellaceae
Description: bacterial SSU rRNA
Rfam family: Bacterial small subunit ribosomal RNA
Source: RNAcentral
UGCAGUCGAGCGGGGAAGAGUAGCUUGCUACUUAACUUAGCGGCGGACGGGUGAGUAAUACUUAGGAAUCUACCUAAUAGUGGGGGACAACAUCUCGAAAGGGAUGCUAAUACCGCAUACGCCCUACGGGGGAAAGCAGGGGACUCUUCGGAGCCUUGCGCUAAUAGAUGAGCCUAAGUCGGAUUAGCUAGUUGGUGGGGUAAAGGCCUACCAAGGCGACGAUCUGUAGCGGGUCUGAGAGGAUGAUCCGCCACACUGGGACUGAGACACGGCCCAGACUCCUACGGGAGGCAGCAGUGGGGAAUAUUGGACAAUGGGGGGAACCCUGAUCCAGCCAUGCCGCGUGUGUGAAGAAGGCCUUUUGGUUGUAAAGCACUUUAAGCGAGGAGGAGGCUCCCAGUAUUAAUACUACUGGAGAGUGGACGUUACUCGCAGAAUAAGCACCGGCUAACUCUGUGCCAGCAGCCGCGGUAAUACAGAGGGUGCAAGCGUUAAUCGGAUUUACUGGGCGUAAAGCGUGCGUAGGUGGCCAAUUAAGUCAAAUGUGAAAUCCCCGAGCUUAACUUGGGAAUUGCAUUCGAUACUGGUUGGCUAGAGUAUGGGAGAGGAUGGUAGAAUUCCAGGUGUAGCGGUGAAAUGCGUAGAGAUCUGGAGGAAUACCGAUGGCGAAGGCAGCCAUCUGGCCUAAUACUGACACUGAGGUACGAAAGCAUGGGGAGCAAACAGGAUUAGAUACCCUGGUAGUCCAUGCCGUAAACGAUGUCUACUAGCCGUUGGGGGUCUUUGAGACUUUAGUGGCGCAGCUAACGCGAUAAGUAGACCGCCUGGGGAGUACGGUCGCAAGACUAAAACUCAAAUGAAUUGACGGGGGCCCGCACAAGCGGUGGAGCAUGUGGUUUAAUUCGAUGCAACGCGAAGAACCUUACCUG